Molecule: non-coding RNA, 61 nt
Organism: Fusobacterium perfoetens ATCC 29250
Lineage: Bacteria; Fusobacteriati; Fusobacteriota; Fusobacteriia; Fusobacteriales; Fusobacteriaceae
Source: Rfam
CUGUAAAGAUAUGUGUGGCUGUAGGGCCUUUUCUUAGGUUAUUCUAAGGCAUAUCGAGGAA